This 91-nucleotide transfer RNA is filed under the name Candidatus Altimarinota bacterium. RNAcentral's name for it is "tRNA-Ser". It matches the Rfam family "tRNA". From Rfam's summary of the family: Transfer RNA (tRNA) molecules are approximately 80 nucleotides in length. The record is from RNAcentral. RNAcentral also lists the same sequence under 1 other name. Lineage: Bacteria; Candidatus Altimarinota.
GGAAGGGUGCCUGAGUGGUUGAAAGGGCUCCCCUGCUAAGGGAGUGAACCCUUUUUGGGUUCCGUGGGUUCGAAUCCCAUCCCUUCCGCCA